This 45-nucleotide non-coding RNA is filed under the name Schistosoma haematobium. The record is from RNAcentral. Lineage: Eukaryota; Metazoa; Platyhelminthes; Trematoda; Strigeidida; Schistosomatidae.
AUCCAUCUGACGAGUCCCAAAUAGAACAAAGCGUGCGUCCUGGAC